CAGGACGUGGCUGAGUUAGACAAGCAUCCCACUUACACCGAGAAGACAUCCAUGCAAUCUGGAUCGUCCUGA
Molecule: transfer RNA, 72 nt
Filed under: Puntius sahyadriensis (Khavli barb)
Lineage: Eukaryota; Metazoa; Chordata; Actinopteri; Cypriniformes; Cyprinidae
Description: tRNA-Val
Source: RNAcentral